This 206-nucleotide ribosomal RNA is filed under the name uncultured bacterium. RNAcentral describes it as "partial 16S ribosomal RNA". It matches the Rfam family "Bacterial small subunit ribosomal RNA", at positions 355 to 575 of the family's 1533-position model. The record is from RNAcentral.
UGGGGAAUAUUGGACAAUGGGGGCAACCCUGAUCCAGCAAUGCCGCGUGUGUGAAGAAGGUCUUCGGAUUGUAAAGCACUUUUCGACGGGGACGAUGAUGACGGUACCCGUAGAAGAAGCCCCGGCUAACUUCGUGCCAGCAGCCGCGGUAAUACGAAGGGGGCUAGCGUUGCUCGGAAUGACUGGGGCGUAAAAGGGCGUGUAGG